UCUAUCUUGGCCUGGAUCAUAGGGUGAGGUUGUGACCAUGACUGGGCUGUUUGGCCUGGAGGAUAAAAGCUGGAAUUUGAUGCUGUGGUGACUUUGUGAGGGUGCUGAGCUAAUUCAGCACCCAAGCCCUGCAGCAUCCUCUCCUCUGCCUCCUCAGGAGCAGUUUGCUCUUGGACUCUAGUCUGCAGCAUCAAACCAGCACUUGAUGGUGUCAAAGCUCAUGACAGCCUGAGGAAAAAAAUAUAGGAGACCUUGCUGUACAGCUUCUAGGACUAUUUGGUAUAGCAAUUAAG
Molecule: long non-coding RNA, 293 nt
Filed under: Zonotrichia albicollis (white-throated sparrow)
Lineage: Eukaryota; Metazoa; Chordata; Aves; Passeriformes; Passerellidae
Description: lncRNA (ENSZALG00000013425.1)
Source: RNAcentral